UAUACGCAUGCACUGCAACAAUUUAUAAAACACUACAAAUAAACCUAAGAUUGUACAACAUAGCACAGGGCUGUGUCUACAAUAGUGAGACAAUAUCCUUGAUCACCUGGGACCACAAUGUUUCAAUACGUCCUACUGAAUCAUGAGAUUACCCGUACUACAUUCGAUAUAAGAAUAUCAAGUAAGGGAACGGAUAGAAAACAAGACUGAUUACUGUGUUCUAUAUGUG
RNAcentral lists this long non-coding RNA (229 nucleotides) under Mytilus galloprovincialis (Mediterranean mussel). The record is from RNAcentral. Lineage: Eukaryota; Metazoa; Mollusca; Bivalvia; Mytilida; Mytilidae.